Molecule: long non-coding RNA, 1599 nt
Organism: Homo sapiens (human)
Lineage: Eukaryota; Metazoa; Chordata; Mammalia; Primates; Hominidae
Source: Ensembl
GGCGGGGUUGCUGGGUCUUCCAGGAUCGCGCAUUAGCGGACGCUGGCUACGGGUGGCCGGGCGGGAUGUAACCGGCUGCUGAGCUGGCAGUUCUGUGUCCCCAGGCUUCGGCCCGGCCGCCGCCGCACAUAAACUGCGAGGAGGAGCUUUACGACUUCUCGGUCUUCGGGGCCGGGCGCAGCAAGGGCCAGACUCUGCGCUAGCAGGCGCUGCGCGCCAACCGGCCGGCCCCUGUCGCAGAAGGUGCAACCGAUCGCACUGUCGCGCAGAAGCUCCUCAAUGGCCAGCGCCAGCUGCAGCCCCGGCUGCCCACUCGCCUCACCUGAGCCUGGGUGGAACAAUCCAAAGUUUUAAUCAAAGAAGGUGGUAUUCAGUUGCUGCUUACAAUAGUUGAUACCCCAGGAUUUGGAGAUGCAGUGGAUAAUAGUAAUUGCUGGCAGCCUGUUAUCAAUUACAUUGAUAGUAAAUUUGAGGACUACCUAAAUGCAGAAUCGCAAGUGAACAGAUGUCAGAUGCCUGGUAACAGGGUGCACUGUUGUUUAUACUUCAUUGCUCCUUCAGGACAUGGACCGUUACAUAACUGAAGACUCCCACCUUCAGGCAGGAUUGGGUAGUACAUGUUUGUAACUACCUGGCAUUGCCUUUUGUUGAGACUUAAACCAUUGGAUAUUGAGUUUACAAAGCAUUUGCAUGAAAAAGUGAAUAUCAUCCCACUUAUUGCCAAAGCAGACACACUCAUGCCAGAGGAAUGCCAACAGUUUAAAAAACAGAUAAAGAAAUCCAAGAACAUAAAGUUAAAAUAUAUGAAUUUCCAGAAACAGAUGAUGAAGAAGAAAAAAAACUUGUUAAAAAGAUAAAGGACCAUUUACCUCUUGCUGUGGUGGGUAGUAAUACUAUCAUUGAAGUUAAUGGCAAAAGGGUCAUAGGAAGGCAGUAUCCUUGGAGUGUUGCUGAAGUUGAAAAUGGUGAACAUUGUGAUUUUACAGUUUUAAGAAAUAUGUUGAUAAGAACACACGCAGGACUUGAAAGAUGUUACUAAUAAUGUCCACUACGAGAACUAUGGAAUCAGAAAACUGGCAGCUGUGACUUAUCAUGGAGUUGAUAACAAGAAGAAUAAAGGGCAGCUCACUAAGAGCCCUCUGGCACAAAUGGAAGAAGAAAGAAGGGAGCAAGUAGCUAAAAUUAAGAAGAUGGAGAUGGAGAUGGAGCAGGUGUUUGAGAUGAAGGUCAAAGAAAAAGUUCAAAAACUGAAGGACUCUGAAGCUGAGGUAAUCAGUCCAAUAUUCCAUCUCUUAGCAGACAUUGUGUUCCUUUUUAAAUAGUAUCUUCAGUAAAAUUUAUAGAUAAUAUAACCUUCUUAUACAUAUUUUUUAAAAAUUAAUACCCUAGCAUAACAAAAUGGAGAAAUUUCUACAAGCAAGCACUGUUUACAAUAAAAUAAUAUAGACUUCAAUACAUAAGUGCUUGGACAUAGUGUAUUAGGUAUGACAGCAUAAUAGAGUACUUACAAUGAAUUAUUAAAGUUAUAAUGAACAAGUGUGAGUUGGGAAAAAUAAAAUUAUAAGCCAUUCCAUACAGGUGGCAUAAGAACACUAAAAA